RNAcentral lists this ribosomal RNA (253 nucleotides) under uncultured bacterium. RNAcentral describes it as "partial 16S ribosomal RNA". It matches the Rfam family "Bacterial small subunit ribosomal RNA", at positions 524 to 776 of the family's 1533-position model. The record is from RNAcentral.
UACGUAGGGGGCAAGCGUUGUCCGGAAUCAUUGGGCGUAAAGCGCGUGUAGGCGGCCCGUUAAGUCCGCUGUGAAAGUCGGGGGCUCAACCCUCGAAUGCCGGUGGAUACUGUCGGGCUAGAGUGCGGAAGAGGCGAGUGGAAUUCCUGGUGUAGCGGUGAAAUGCGCAGAUAUCAGGAGGAACACCAAUGGCGAAGGCAGCUCGCUGGGACGUUACUGACGCUGAGACGCGAAAGCGUGGGGAGCAAACAGG